This 1896-nucleotide ribosomal RNA is filed under the name human gut metagenome. Its description in RNAcentral is "bacterial LSU rRNA". It matches the Rfam family "Bacterial large subunit ribosomal RNA", at positions 3 to 1992 of the family's 2925-position model. The record is from RNAcentral.
UCAAGCGAACAAGGGCGCAGGGCGAAUGCCUUGGCACUGGGAGCCGAUGAAAGACGUGAUAAGCUGCGAUAAGCUUCGGGGAGCUGCAAAUAAGCAUUGAUCCGGAGAUUUCUGAAUGAGGAAACUCACCUGGGUUCAUACUCAGGUACGUUAUACUGAACUUAAAAAUAGGUAUAUCGAGGGAACCGCCUGAACUGAAACAUCUAAGUAGGGCGAGGAAGAGACAUCAAACGAGAUUCCGUAAGUAGUGGCGAGCGAACGCGGAAGAGGGCAAACCGGGAGUAGAAAUACUUCCGGGGUACGGACUGCUUUUAGGACUUAAUCUGUUAACCGAACGGCAUGGGAAGGCCGGUCAGAGAGUGUGAGAACCACGUAGGUGAAAACGGAGAGAGCUGCGCAGAAUCCAGAGUACGGCCAGACACGUGAAACCUGGUCGGAAUAUGGGGGGACCACCCUCCAACCCUAAAUACUACCCAGUGACCGAUAGCGUAUAGUACUGUGAAGGAAAGGUGAAAAGCACCCCGGGAGGGGAGUGAAAAAGAACCUGAAACCCUGUGCCUACAAGCACCUAGAGCACGUCAAUGUGUGAUAGGGUACUUUUUGUAGAACGGUCCGGCGAGCGAUUGUAUGCAGCAAGGUUAAGGACUUAAGGUCUGGAGCCGAAGCGAAAGCGAGUUUGAAAAGGGCGUUAAGUUGCAUACAAUGGGCCCGAAACCGGGUGACCUACCCAUGGUCAGGUUGAAGUGGAAGUAAAAUUCCAUGGAGGACCGAACCGACCUCCGUUGAAAAGGCGGCGGAUGAACUGUGGGUAGCGGAGAAAUUCCAAUCGAACCCGGAGAUAGCUGGUUCUCCCCGAAAUAGUUUUAGGACUAGCCUCAAGUUAGAUACCUGGAGGUAAAGCACUGAAUAGCCUAGCGGCCGAGAGGUUAGCGAAGCUUAUCAAACUCAGAAUGCCAGAGUAUUGAUGCUUGGGAGUCAGACAGUGUCAGAUAAAUGUCAUUGUCAAAAGGGAAACAGCCCAGAUCUACAGCUAAGGUCCCAAAGUCAGGUUAAGUGGAAAACGAUGUGAAGAUACGUAGACAACCAGGAUGUUGGCUCAGAAGCAGCCACACAUUCAAAGAGUGCGUAAUAGCUCACUGGUCGAGCGUCUUUGCGCGGAGAAUUUAACGGGGCUAAACCUGACACCGAAGCUUAGGCAAUACAGCAAUGUAUUGGGUAGGGGAGCGUUGUAUACGCGGUGAAACAGUAGCGCAAGCGGCUGUGGAGUGUAUAGAAGUGAGAAUGCCGGAAUGAGUAGCGCGAAUGCAGUGAGAAUCUGCAUGGCCGAAAGCCUCAGGUUUCUGGAGGAAGGUUCGUCCGCUCCAGGUUAGUCGGGAGCUAAGGUGAGGCCUAACGGCGUAGCCGAUGCACAGACGGUAGAGAUUCCGUCACCACCAAAAGAGUUAAACACAGGGACACAUUUGAAGUCUCGGAGCCGGGUGUUGGUUCCGGUAGCGAUCGAGGGAAAUUAGUACCGAAGUCCGGGAUGGAAGAUGGCGAGAAAAGCUGUGUGUAUUUCUGCGGUGCCCGUACCGCAAACCGACACAGGUAGGUAGGAAGAAGAUUCUAAGGCCAACGGGAGAAGGGUUGUUAAGGAACUCGGCAAAUUGACCCCGUAACUUCGGGAGAAGGGGUGCUCCAGAGAUGGAGCCGCAGAGAAUCGGCCCAAGCAACUGUUUACCAAAAACACAGGUUUGUGCUAAAUCGAAAGAUGACGUAUACGAGCUGACGCCUGCCCGGUGCUGGAAGGUUAAGAGGAGAUGUGCAAGCAUUGAAUCGAAGCCCCAGUGAACGGCGGCCGUAACUAUAACGGUCCUAAGGUAGCGAAAUUCCUUGUCAGGUAAGUUCUGACCCGCA